Molecule: long non-coding RNA, 236 nt
Filed under: Mytilus galloprovincialis (Mediterranean mussel)
Lineage: Eukaryota; Metazoa; Mollusca; Bivalvia; Mytilida; Mytilidae
Source: RNAcentral
UUAUGUAUUUUUUGUGAUAAUGGCCAAAUUGAAGAUGAAAAACACUUUCUUUUUAAUUGUUGUUUUUACUCUGAUAUCAGACAUGAAUUAUAUGCCAAAGCCUGUCUUUUAAUUGUUGAUUUUGAGUAUUUAUGUGAUAUUGAAAAACUUCGUUAUCUUAUGUGUAAUGAGAAUAUUGGUUCCUAUUUUAGCUAGUUCCCUUUAUUAUAUGUUUUGUCGACAAAAAUGUCAUCUAG